GGUUCUCUACCGAAAACUAUUUAGGUAGUGCCUCGUGUCUCACCUUCGGGGGUAGAGCACUGUCAUGGUUGGGGGGUCUAUUGCAGAUUACCCCGCCAUAGCAAACUCCGAAUACCGAAGAGUGCAAUCACGGGAGACAGACAUCGGGUGCUAACGUCCGGUGUCAAGAGGGAAACAACCCAGACCGCCAGCUAAGGUCCCCAAAUAUGGCUAAGUGGGAAACGAAGUGGGAAGG
Molecule: ribosomal RNA, 235 nt
Filed under: Burkholderia pseudomallei
Lineage: Bacteria; Pseudomonadati; Pseudomonadota; Betaproteobacteria; Burkholderiales; Burkholderiaceae
Description: partial 23S ribosomal RNA
Rfam family: Bacterial large subunit ribosomal RNA
Source: RNAcentral